This is a long non-coding RNA of Photinus pyralis (common eastern firefly), 685 nucleotides long. RefSeq lists it as uncharacterized. The transcript is spliced from 3 exons. NCBI's taxonomy places the organism in Eukaryota, Metazoa, Arthropoda, Insecta, Coleoptera, Lampyridae. The record is from RefSeq and is a predicted model, not a curated record.
GUUUCCAGGAGACUAAAACCAGCUUGUUGCUAGCAUUCGGCAGAAGUGGACUAAGAUCAUACAUAGACCUUGUCACUGGACAACAUCCUUUGAGAUAUCAUCUCUGCUUCGAGGAGGAAGAGAUAGCGGAACUGCUGGUGCGAAUCACAAGGCCUGGGUGAGGUUGUGGCUGCGGAUCCUCAAAUUGUUUUUAUCAUACUGAGGCACGCACAAGAGAUCCAAGGGUCAAAGUGCGUAGGCGUGACCCAACACAAGGAGCUUCGAGGGACGAACCCAAUCUGUGUUAGAAACUAUUUGUUGAAAUCGCAGUAUCUCAAAGAUACAAAUUGACCAGUAUUAUAAUUAUCUGGUCUUGUAUAUUUUCAUAAGAAAAUUUGGUGUGGACAAAGAUUCUCCCUUUCUAUGUUUGUUUUGGAGCAAGUGCAUACAUAUCAAGAUGUACCUAUAAACGGAGUACUUUAUGAACAAAAUCUGGCCCAAGGCCACCCAAGUCUACUUUAGCAACAAGCAGUGGAUGUAAGGACCAAAUUAUUAUAAAUGAGACCAUGCACCAUAAGUGUCCCAAGGGCUUACGCGAGGGCAACAAAAAGCUGUUCGGCUCGUGUGGAUUCCCUAAACUAAGGGAUUGUAGAAAUCCCCGACGCAUGCGGUGGCUAUAAAAUUUGUAUUAGCGCUUACCUGAUAU